UGCCCAGCAACUCCUAUCCCUACCUCCUCGUGAUACUGGCCGGGGUACGAGUAACCUUGGGGAAGAUCGGGUAACCAACCCCCGGUGGGAACUUUGGUCGCUGACAGGGAAGG
RNAcentral lists this ribozyme (113 nucleotides) under Aedes aegypti (yellow fever mosquito). Its description in RNAcentral is "drz-agam-1 ribozyme". It matches the Rfam family "drz-agam-1 ribozyme". Lineage: Eukaryota; Metazoa; Arthropoda; Insecta; Diptera; Culicidae. The record is from Rfam by way of RNAcentral.